GAACUUAAGCAUAUCAAUAAGCGGAGGAAAAGAAACCAACAGGGAUUACCUCAGUAACGGCGAGUGAAGCGGUAAAAGCUCAAAUUUGAAAUCUGGCUCUUUUAGAGUCCGAGUUGUAAUUUGUAGAAGAUGCUUCGGGUGUGGUUCCGGUCUAAGUUCCUUGGAACAGGACGUCAUAGAGGGUGAGAAUCCCGUAUGUGACUGGAUACCUAUGCUCAUGUGAAGCUCUUUCGACGAGUCGAGUUGUUUGGGAAUGCAGCUCAAAAUGGGUGGUAUAUUUCAUCUAAAGCUAAAUAUUGGCCAGAGACCGAUAGCGCACAAGUAGAGUGAUCGAAAGAUGAAAAGCACUUUGGAAAGAGAGUUAAACAGUACGUGAAAUUGUUGAAAGGGAAGCGCUUGCAAUCAGACUUGCACUUGGUGUUCAUCGGGGUCUCGUGCCCCGUGUAUUUCAUCAAGUUCAGGCCAGCAUCAGUUUGGGUGGUUAGAUAAAGGCUUAGGGAAUGUGGCUUUCUUCGGGAAGUGUUAUAGCCCUAGGUGCAAUGUAGCCUACCUGGACUGAGGACCGCGCUUCGGCUAGGAUGCUGGCGUAAUGGUUGUAAGCGACCCGUCUUGAAACACGGACCAAGGAGUGUACCUAAUAUGCGAGUGUUUGGGUGUUAAACCCAUACGCGUAAUGAAAGUGAACGCUGGUGAGAACCCUUAAGGGUGCAUCAUCGACCGAUCUUGAUGUCUUCGGAUGGAUUUGAGUAAGAGCAUAUUGGGUGCGACCCGAAAGAUGGUGAUCUAUACGUGAAUAGGGUGAAGCCAGAGGAAACUCUGGUGGAGGCUCGCAGCGGUUCUGACGUGCAAAUCGAUCGUCAAAUUUGCGUAUAGGGGCGAAAGACUAAUCGAACCAUCUAGUAGCUGGUUCCUGCCGAAGUUUCCCUC
This 927-nucleotide ribosomal RNA is filed under the name Ciboria sp. WZ-JXD-22. RNAcentral describes it as "eukaryotic LSU rRNA". It matches the Rfam family "Eukaryotic large subunit ribosomal RNA", at positions 30 to 974 of the family's 3401-position model. Lineage: Eukaryota; Fungi; Ascomycota; Leotiomycetes; Helotiales; Sclerotiniaceae. The record is from RNAcentral.